AGGGAUGUGGCUCCGUGGUUCAGAGCCUCUGCUUUGCAUGUAGAAGGUCUCGCGGUUCGUUCCCCGGCGUCUCUG
Podarcis lilfordi (Lilford's wall lizard) is the source of this 75-nucleotide non-coding RNA. The record is from the annotation of a GenBank genome assembly. NCBI's taxonomy places the organism in Eukaryota, Metazoa, Chordata, Lepidosauria, Squamata, Lacertidae.